RNAcentral lists this ribosomal RNA (609 nucleotides) under uncultured bacterium. RNAcentral describes it as "bacterial SSU rRNA". It matches the Rfam family "Bacterial small subunit ribosomal RNA", at positions 338 to 946 of the family's 1533-position model. The record is from RNAcentral.
CCUACGGGAGGCAGCAGUAAGGAAUAUUGGUCAAUGGACGCAAGUCUGAGCCAGCCAUGCCGCGUGCAGGAUGACGGCCCUCUGGGUUGUAAACUGCUUUUAUACGGGAAGAAACCUCUGGUUGCGAUCAGAGCUGACGGUACCGUAAGAAUAAGGACCGGCUAACUUCGUGCCAGCAGCCGCGGUAAUACGAAGGGUCCAAGCGUUAUCCGGAUUUAUUGGGUUUAAAGGGUGCGUAGGCGGCUUAUUAAGUCAGUGGUGAAAGACUUCAGCUUAACUGAAGAACUGCCAUUGAUACUGAUGAGCUUGAAUAUACUUGAGGUGGGCGGAAUGUGUCAUGUAGCGGUGAAAUGCUUAGAUAUGACACAGAACACCGAUUGCGAAGGCAGCUCGCUAAAGUAUGAUUGACGCUGAUGCACGAAAGCGUGGGGAGCAAACAGGAUUAGAUACCCUGGUAGUCCACGCCCUAAACGUUGAUAACUCGAUGUGUGCGAUAUACAGUACGCGUCCAAGCGAAAGCAUUAAGUUAUCCACCUGGGAAGUACGGUCGCAAGAUUGAAACCUGAAUGAAUUAGACGNUUGAGAGNGCGAGCGACGACGAGGGAGAGG